AGACAGACAGAAGGACAGACAGACAGACAGACAGACAGGUUGAUUUGGAGGAUGUUGACAGCCCUCUUCAUGAUGGAAACUUUAACAGCUUUAUGAUCAACGUUUAUAUGUUUAUAUUAU
Sander lucioperca (pikeperch) is the source of this 120-nucleotide long non-coding RNA. RefSeq lists it as uncharacterized. The record is from RefSeq and is a predicted model, not a curated record. Lineage: Eukaryota; Metazoa; Chordata; Actinopteri; Perciformes; Percidae. The transcript is spliced from 3 exons.